CUACGGGUCGCAGCAGUGAGGAAUAUUGCACAAUGGGGGGAACCCUGAUGCAGCAACGCCGCGUGGAGGAUGACGCAUUUCGGUGUGUAAACUCCUUUUAUAUGUCAAGAAAAUGACGGUAGCAUAUGAAUAAGCAUCGGCUAACUCCGUGCCAGCAGCCGCGGUAAUACGGAGGGUGCAAGCGUUACUCGGAAUCACUGGGCGUAAAGGACGCGUAGGCGGGUUGGAAAGUCAGGUGUGAAAUCCUACAGCUUAACUGUAGAACUGCACUUGAAACUUCUAAUCUAGAGUAUGGGAGGGGGAGAUGGAAUUAGUGGUGUAGGGGUAAAAUCCGUAGAUAUCACUAGGAAUACCUAAAGCGAAGGCGAUCUCCUGGAACAUUACUGACGCUAAGGCGUGAAAGCGUGGGGAGCAAACAGGAUUAGAUACCCGUGUAGUC
This 439-nucleotide ribosomal RNA is filed under the name uncultured bacterium. Its description in RNAcentral is "partial 16S ribosomal RNA". It matches the Rfam family "Bacterial small subunit ribosomal RNA", at positions 339 to 795 of the family's 1533-position model. The record is from RNAcentral.